GAUGAACGCUAGCUACAGGCUUAACACAUGCAAGUCGAGGGGCAGCAUGGUCUUAGCUUGCUAAGGCCGAUGGCGACCGGCGCACGGGUGAGUAACACGUAUCCAACCUGCCGUCUACUCUUGGACAGCCUUCUGAAAGGAAGAUUAAUACAAGAUGGCAUCAUGAGUUCACAUGUUCACAUGAUUAAAGGUAUUCCGGUAGACGAUGGGGAUGCGUUCCAUUAGAUAGUAGGCGGGGUAACGGCCCACCUAGUCUUCGAUGGAUAGGGGUUCUGAGAGGAAGGUCCCCCACAUUGGAACUGAGACACGGUCCAAACUCCUACGGGAGGCAGCAGUGAGGAAUAUUGGUCAAUGGGCGAGAGCCUGAACCAGCCAAGUAGCGUGAAGGAGGACUGCCCUAUGGGUUGUAAACUUCUUUUAUAAAGGGAUAAAGUCGGGUAUGUAUACCCGUUUGCAUGUACUUUAUGAAUAAGGAUCGGCUAACUCCGUG
RNAcentral lists this ribosomal RNA (490 nucleotides) under uncultured bacterium. RNAcentral describes it as "partial 16S ribosomal RNA". It matches the Rfam family "Bacterial small subunit ribosomal RNA", at positions 28 to 507 of the family's 1533-position model. The record is from RNAcentral.